UUCAAGAGUCAAGACCGACCAAUCAGAGAAGAGAUUCAUCGUUACAUCCCUCUGUUCGAAACCGGAUCUGCUCAUUACACGUGGCACUUCACAUACAUUCCGCCAUGUUAUUAUUUAUGAGAAAUGCUCCUAAUUUACGGUGGGAUGUGCCUCUGUGAGGUCGUUGUGAAGUGCCCUGUGUGAGGAGCAUAUUCCAAUCCCCUCUGUUCUCGUUUUUUUAGAAGAUGACCCAUUAGUGAGGUGACUUGUGGAACUAGGGACCUGGGAGAAAGAAUGAGAGAUGAGAGAUCGGUUGGACAAAGCCGCCGGAUUAGUUGCCUUGGUGGUGACUCGGACUCUGAGUUGGAACCCGGCAGACGCCUCCGAGGAAAGGUGACAAACUGAAUAAGGUCAAACUGAUUACUGAUCCAAUGAUCAUGAGCGUCCACGUAUCACUGUAGAAUUAGAUAGGGGGAUGCCGGAGGCGGAGGCGGAGGCGGAGGCGGAGCUCCAAUUGUUGAACACCCGAUUCCCUUAUUUUUUAUAUUUAUUUAUAUAUUGAAAGAAAUUAAUAAAAGUGGGCCCUGACAUGGCGAUUGGCGAGAUAGACGUCGGCCUUGGCAUUGGGAUCUUGCUUUUCCUUCCUUCUGAGUUCUGAGUUGUCAAGCAGAAAGAAUAGAAAUAUAGAAUAGGCUGUCUGUGUAAAGUUAAGACCGUUGGAUUGAGACCACUGUGUAAAAGCCUGAUAUAGAAAAAGAAAAAGAAAAGGGCUAUCUCACUAGUCAUGAGGCCUGGUUAUGUGGAAACGCCGAACAUGUUGAUUUGAUUUGAGCAAUUCCGUCUGACCGGGAGACUCGAUCCACGUAUGGCCUAAAAAUAGAUUGCUUCUUUCUUCCUUUGAGAGAUUAGUGGUUGAUUUGGCUGAA
Nelumbo nucifera (sacred lotus) is the source of this 905-nucleotide long non-coding RNA. RefSeq lists it as uncharacterized. NCBI's taxonomy places the organism in Eukaryota, Viridiplantae, Streptophyta, Magnoliopsida, Proteales, Nelumbonaceae. The record is from RefSeq and is a predicted model, not a curated record.